GACGAACGCUGGCGGCGUGCCCAAUACAUGCAAGUUGAGCGCUGAAGGUUGGUACUUGUACCGACUGGAUGAGCAGCGAACGGGUGAGUAACGCGUGGGGAAUCUGCCUUUGAGCGGGGGACAACAUUUGGAAACGAAUGCUAAUACCGCAUAAAAACUUUAAACACAAGUUUUAAGUUUGAAAGAUGCAAUUGCAUCACUCAAAGAUGAUCCCGCGUUGUAUUAGCUAGUUGGUGAGGUAAAGGCUCACCAAGGCGAUGAUACAUAGCCGACCUGAGAGGGUGAUCGGCCACAGUGGGACUGAGACAAGGCCCAAACUCCUACGGGAGGCAGCAGUAGGGAAUCUUCGGCAAUGGACGAAAGUCUGACCGAGCAACGCCGCGUGAGUGAAGAAGGUUUUCGGAUCGUAAAACUCUGUUGGUAGAGAAGAACGUUGGUGAGAGUGGAAAGCUCAUCAAGUGACGGUAACUACCCAGAAAGGGACGGCUAACUACGUG
This 497-nucleotide ribosomal RNA is filed under the name uncultured bacterium. RNAcentral's name for it is "partial 16S ribosomal RNA". It matches the Rfam family "Bacterial small subunit ribosomal RNA", at positions 28 to 507 of the family's 1533-position model. The record is from RNAcentral.